UUUAUUAAGCUCAACAAACAAAGUGAAACACAGAUGUGAGUGGAAAUUGGUUUGGUUAGUUUCAUGGUUGUUUCGUCCAAAAGUCACAAGGUGGCGCUGUUGAGUUGAUGAUGCGUGGAUCUACGCUGCCGGCUGAAAACACGUCAUCCAUCUUAGAGCAGAAUGCCAGGAUCCACAAUGAAAACUUGCAUAUCUUGCAAGCAACACGUCUGUCUUUGUGGGGCACAGCAGCCCAUGAAAAAAAAAAUCAUCAAGGCAAAGAACAAGGCUACGAAGGAAUGGGGAGAGGAGCUGAAGAAAGGGGGCAAUAUUGCCAAACUUUUUGAUGCUGCACGGAUUCUGACCCUGCACCUGCACCCUCUCCCUCCUCCUCACUUGGACUUCCACGACCCUCUGCUUCAUCCCAGCCCCCCAUGACCAAGCCUCUACCCCUAAGCUGUGCUCGACACGAAAGCAAACAGACCCUGUGCCUGCACCCAGUAUUGUGUCCCAGACCCCUCCUGAACCAACUCCCCUGCCCUCUGCUUCGCCCCAUCCCCCUAAGCUGUGCUCUGCACUCAAGCAAAUAGGCUGUGUCCUAGGCAUCUUCUUUAUUUGCCCCUCACCUCCCCAGGUCGUAGUAACAGACCCAAUCCAGUCAACCUAGCAGGGAAUGCUGGAGGUCAAAGUGAAGUGGGUGCCAUGCCCUCAGUGCCACCUGAGAUGGGCCGAUUGGUGGGUGACACAAGAUGACCUCACUUAGAUGUCAAAGACUUUCCUUUAAUGUGUUCUUCAUUUUGUAAUGUUCUGGUUUGUUCUUGCCAUUAAAGUUGUGCUGCUGCAGGCUCA
This is a long non-coding RNA of Acanthopagrus latus (yellowfin seabream), 828 nucleotides long. RefSeq lists it as uncharacterized. The record is from RefSeq and is a predicted model, not a curated record. The transcript is spliced from 7 exons. Lineage: Eukaryota; Metazoa; Chordata; Actinopteri; Spariformes; Sparidae.